This 635-nucleotide ribosomal RNA is filed under the name Lolium multiflorum (Italian ryegrass). RNAcentral describes it as "eukaryotic LSU rRNA". The stretch from base 266 to 421 matches the Rfam family "5.8S ribosomal RNA". Lineage: Eukaryota; Viridiplantae; Streptophyta; Magnoliopsida; Poales; Poaceae. The record is from RNAcentral.
GUAACAAGGUUUCCGUAGGUGAACCUGCGGAAGGAUCAUUGUCGUGACCCUGACCAAAACAGACCGCGCACGAGUUAUCUAGCCCGCUGGGCGGCGGCAUCGUCCGUCGCUUGGCAAAAGUCCUCKACAACCUCAUCUUUUCKKAGUUGGGGCUCGGGGUAAAAGAACCCACGGCGCCGAAGGCGUCAAGGAACACUGUGCCUAACGAGGGGAUGUGGCUGGCUUGCUAGCCGCACCCCGAGUUGCAAUUCUAUAUAAUCCACACGACUCUCGGCAACGGAUAUCUCGGCUCUCGCAUCGAUGAAGAACGUAGCGAAAUGCGAUACCUGGUGUGAAUUGCAGAAUCCCGCGAACCAUCGAGUCUUUGAACGCAAGUUGCGCCCGAGGCCUCUUGGCCGAGGGCACGCCUGCCUGGGCGUCACGCCAAACACGCUCCCACCCAACUAACUUGGGGUGGGACGCGGCAUGUGGCUCCUCGUCCCGCAAGGGGCGGUGGGCCAAAGAUCCGGCUGCCGGCCUAUCGUGCCGGACACAGCGCGUGGUAGGUMGACCUCGCUUUACUAAACGCAGUGCCUCCGGCGCGUAGCCGACGCGAUGGCCCCAAUGGACCCUUUUAACGGAGUGCAUGACGCUUC